GAAGGGAUCUGACAAGACGCCAGUUUGCUUCACGCGGAUGACAGUAUCAGCAAAUUAGCAAAAAUAUGCUACCUAAAAUAAAUGUAGCUGCGACUUGUAGUUUUUAUUCUAACGUUACCUGAAUUAGUCAAAGGUCAAGAUGGCUACAAUUUACAAUAUGUUCCAGUCAGAAACAACAUCGAUUAUGGCCUUCGUCGUCGAGACGGCAAUGACAGACAUAUAUAAAUUUUUGCCAAACUCUGACGCUAACAACGACGUUAAUCCGGGGAGAGAGCUCUGCACCAUUAUGAAUUUGUUGAUGGGGGAGGGUAUUCGUAAAGUCUGCCAACUAUUCCUUGUGGCCUCCUCUCGUUUGCAAAAUGAAAACGAGAAACUGAAGACCAAGGUGGAGCAGAUGGAUGAAUAUAUGAAGGAAAUUACUGAGAAGGCUGAACAUUAUAGAACGUCUCUGGCUAAAGUGGAGGCUGAACCGAAAGUACAGACGCCAACCCAUGUUCUGCACAACGGAAUGAUCUUUGCAAUAAAACCAGUUGAUCUCCCAUUGUUGCCUGGAAUGACAGCGGCUUCAGCAUUUCCAGGGAAUGUCAGUCAAGCAAACACAGUCACUAACGCAACAUCUGUCUGUGCAGGUCCUGCCAAAGUUUGCAGUAAACCUACAGAGACGACUUCAUUGGAGUAUGACUCCUCUCUGGGAGACACACAUGGACUGAAUACAGAGCCCUCACCAAGAGAUACUGAAUCCAACAUUGAGCAUAUGAGAGCUGCUCUUCCAGAGGGCACUUAUAACGGUAGAGACAGCCAUGAAAGACAUAAAAACAGUAAUAUUACUAAUGGGACAGGAUCCACAGAAAACAAACGCUUCAAGUGUGAUGUUUGUGAGAAGACAUUCAGCAAGAAAGAGUUGCUGAGAGUUCACAAGCUAAUCCACACAAAACCUUUCAAGUGUGACAUUUGUGAGAAGACCUUCAGCAGGAAAGGGUUACUGGAAGGUCAUAAGCUAAUUCACACAAGACCCUUCACCUGUGACGUUUGUGACAAGACCUUCAGCCUGAACCGCAUGCUGUUACGUCACAAGCUAAUUCACACAGGAGAAAGGCCAUUUGCUUGUGGUCAAUGUGGCAAAACAUUCAGAAUGUCCAAGCAGCUCGAACGUCACAUGUUGCAUCACAAAGAAAACAAUUUCAGUUGCAAAGUCUGUAGAAAUACAUUCUCUACCAAGACAGAUCUGACACAACAUCGGCUAGUUCAUGCAGUGGAGAGACCGUUCAAGUGCCUGACUUGUGGAAAGGGUUUCACAAAAAGGACCAUACUUAUAGGGCACGAGAGAAUCCACACCGGUGAAAAACCAUACAGCUGUGCUGAAUGUGGGAAGAGUUACAGACAGUCUUAUGACCUAAGAAUUCAUAUGCGAAGACAUACAGGUGCAGACAUACGUCCACACUUAUGCUCAGAGUGUGGUAAGAGCUUUAGGACAAAAUCCGUCCUCGAAAAGCACAAGCGAAUUCAUACAGGGGAGAAGCCAUUUAAAUGUGAGACCUGUGGAGCUGCUUUUGGCCAUAAAGGAAACCUUGUGAGACACCAAGUGCUUCACACAGGGGAGAGACCAUACAAAUGUAAAGUGUGUGGGAAAAGCUACCCUCAGUCCACCGACUUAAAAGCUCACAUGCACCGUCAUGGGGCAACCAAACCUUUUAUGUGUGACCUAUGUGGAAAGACUUUUAUUUACAAUUACCAAAUGAGACAACAUAAUCUACAAUGGCACAUGGCUGAAGGAGAUAAGGUUCCUGGGAGAGAAGGAACAUCAACGAAGCCAUUCAGUUGCAAAAUAUGUUUGAACGGCUUCAGCUCCAUGCUAACUCUGAAAAAGCAUAAAGAAAUUCACACAGGACAAAAACAAUAUUCUUGUUCCAUUUGUGGAAAGACCAUUGCAUAUAAAAAUGCUUUUGACUAUCACAUGAGAGUUCACAGUGGAGUGAAGCCCCAUGAAUGUAAAUACUGUGGAAGGAAAUUUAUUCUGAAGCAAGCUCUUCAAGGACAUGAGCGGACCCAUACAGGUGAAAAACCCUUCAAAUGCAGUUAUUGUGACAAGACUUUUGCAGUCAACACCAAUCUGAAAAGGCAUGAGCGAAUCCACACAGGAGAGAAGCCAUUCAAAUGUGAUGUUUGCGGGAGAGGUUUCAGUCAAGCCAACAAUGUUAAAGCCCACAUGCAAGUCCACACUGGAGUUAGGCCUUACUAUUGCAAGAGAUGUGGAAAAGGCUUUUCUGACAUAAGACACUACAAAAACCAUAGAUGUGAUGGUGUGACUGUUACACGCACACACUGUGAUGGUGAUAAUUAUCGUAAAUCUUCUGACGGCACUUUCAGAAGUAGAAAAGGAGGUAGACAGGAGUGCUUGCCAUAAUGCUGCUGUUGUGUAGACUCCGUGAUAUUAUCUCAAUAUUAUCUACAGUCUGUAGACUACAGUGGUGCAACUUCCUGCUUACAGAUGUCAUGAACAAUGGGGAUUUAUUCAGUAGUGUGAAAUGUCCUCGGGUGAGUGUCUGGAAAGCCUUGUAUGAAAUGAGAGCGUGCUUUAGGAAAUUAGAUAUGUGCUUGCUGUAGUGCUUGGAGAUCUUGCUAUAAAUCAAAGGGUUAAUGUUCAUGAGCCCAAAUACUCAUUUGUUCAUAUUGUGUAAAUCAAUAAACACAUCAUUCAUGUGAA
Long non-coding RNA from Oncorhynchus masou masou (cherry salmon), 2704 nucleotides. RefSeq lists it as uncharacterized. Lineage: Eukaryota; Metazoa; Chordata; Actinopteri; Salmoniformes; Salmonidae. The record is from RefSeq and is a predicted model, not a curated record. The transcript has 4 exons.